This 425-nucleotide ribosomal RNA is filed under the name uncultured bacterium. RNAcentral's name for it is "partial 16S ribosomal RNA". It matches the Rfam family "Bacterial small subunit ribosomal RNA", at positions 354 to 796 of the family's 1533-position model. The record is from RNAcentral.
GUGGGGAAUAUUGGACAAUGGGCGAAAGCCUGAUCCAGCCAUGCCGCGUGAGUGAUGAAGGCCCUAGGGUUGUAAAAUUCUUUCACCGGGGACGAUAAUGACGGUACCCGGAGAAGAAGCCCCGGCUAACUUCGUGCCAGCAGCCGCGGUAAUACGAAGGGGGCUAGCGUUGCUCGGAAUUACUGGGCGUAAAGGGCGCGUAGGCGGACAGUUUAGUCAGAGGUGAAAGCCCAGGGCUCAACCUUGGAAUUGCCUUUGAUACUGGCUGUCUUGAGUACGGGAGAGGGGAGUGGAACUCCGAGUGUAGAGGUGAAAUUCGUAGAUAUUCGGAAGAACACCAGUGGCGAAGGCGACUCACUGGCCCGUUACUGACGCUGAGGCGCGAAAGCGUGGGGAGCAAAUAGGAUUAGAAACCCUUGUAGUCC